This 255-nucleotide ribosomal RNA is filed under the name uncultured bacterium. RNAcentral's name for it is "partial 16S ribosomal RNA". It matches the Rfam family "Bacterial small subunit ribosomal RNA", at positions 524 to 777 of the family's 1533-position model. The record is from RNAcentral.
UACGAAGGGGGCUAGCGUUGUUCGGAAUUACUGGGCGUAAAGCGCACGUAGGCGGAUUGUUAAGUCAGGGGUGAAAUCCUGGAGCUCAACUCCAGAACCGCCUUUGAUACUGAAGAUCUUGAGUUCGGGAGAGGUGAGUGGAACUCCUAGUGUAGAGGUGGAAUUCGUAGAUAUUAGGAAGAACACCAGUGGCGAAGGGCGGCUCACUGGUCCGGUACUGACGCUGAGGUGCGAAAGCGUGGGGAGCAAACAGGG